AAUUAAGAUAUCAGCUGGCUUUCCAGAGGGCAUGGAGGUCAUCUUCCCAGCAAAUAAUGGCAACAUUACACAUCUCAGAACUUUAUCUGCCCGGUGUUCAUCAUUGGGACGUAUCCGGAUUUUUUCUUUAAUAGUGAAACUAUUCUCUGUUUCUGUCGAUGUGGCAUCAGCAGUUUACAAUUCAAACCUACUUAGUUUGUUGGAGGCAGAAGUCAGAAAUUCAGAUGAUACCCUAGCAACUUUAAAUGUUUUGGAGCUCUUUUAUGAGUUAGCAGAAGUCCAGCAUGGUACAGAGUUCUUGUCAAGGACCGCUCUUAUCCAACUUCUUUCGUCUAUGAUCAGCAACACAUCAAUGGAUGCAAUAUUAAGAUCAAGAGCAAUGAUGAUAAGUGCAAGGCUUCUAUCCAAGGAAAAUAUAUUCACAUUCAUUGAUGAAUCUUGUGUUAAAACUGUUGUAUCAGCCAUCGACGGAAGACUUCAAUCAGCGAGUCAAGAUUUGAACGAAUGUGAAUGCGCACUUGAAGCAUUGGGGCAAAUUGGAUCGUCAAUCCCAGGAGCAAUGCUGCUGCUCUGUAUGUUACCUCCGGCUGCAAGACAUGUUAUUAAUGCUGCCUUUGAUAGACAAGCACGUGGCAAUCAGUUGGCUGCAUUGCAUUCUCUUGGAAACAUAUCAGGAGAGUCUCGGUUGGAGAGCGACAUAAUGCUUAAUUCUGAUGCAGAAGAAAAUCUUCGACGCUUGAUCUAUGAAACGGCAUCCAAGACUUCAGAGCUGACACCAUCAGGUCUUUUCUUAUCAGUUCUUCAACAGGAUUCAGAAGUUCGUUUGGCGGCUUACAGAAUGAUAACUGGUUUGGUGGCUCGGCCUUGGUGCCUGAUGGAGAUAUGCUCAAAACAGGAGAUUGUAAAUAUAGUAACCGAUCCAAAUACUGAAACCACAAAAAUAGGUAUGGAAGCUAGAUAUAAUUGUUGCAAGGCAAUCCAAAAGGCUUUCAUGGCCUCUGGUAAACUUGGCACUAAUCCUGCUCUUGUUGGAAUUGCUACCAAGUUGCAGGAAUCUGUUAGCAGAGGUCCAUAUCUCACCGGCAAGCCUCGUGAAGCACAACCUGUAGUAAUGACAGCUGACAGAUUCUAAUUUCCUUGAAGAACAUACUUUACUUAAGUAGACAAGAUGUGGACUAUUUUCACACAGCUUUUGAUCUAACAUUUUGUAAUAUUAGUUUGGAAGCUCACCCUUUGCGCAAAUAUUUAAUAUUUUACCCUUGGAUUGGAUUUAGGAAAUCAGAACUCUUUCUGACGGUGAAUCUCUCUUUUCUUCGUUGUGGACGCGUGAAAGGAAGAGAGCUGAUAGCUAACCUAAAUUUUCACCUUCCUUUGGCUUGCAUAUAUGUGGAACUUGAUUUCUAUAAAUUGAAUAUUUUUUUUUUUAAAAGAAA
This 1433-nucleotide unclassified non-coding RNA is filed under the name Hevea brasiliensis (rubber tree). The record is from RNAcentral. Lineage: Eukaryota; Viridiplantae; Streptophyta; Magnoliopsida; Malpighiales; Euphorbiaceae.